Molecule: long non-coding RNA, 1694 nt
Organism: Mauremys reevesii (Reeves's turtle)
Lineage: Eukaryota; Metazoa; Chordata; Testudines; Geoemydidae
Exons: 5
Source: RefSeq, a predicted model, not a curated record
UGGUCCACAAUAUUGCACGAAUGCCAUUGCUGGAGACAGCCCCCUCUAAAAGGGCAGAUCAAGGAGAAAACACUAAUUCUGGAGGCAAACUCAGUUUUGAAGGUAAAAACCAAUACAGAAAUGACUCACCAGCCUGGUAAAGAAGACAAAACACACACGGCAGAUGCUCAGCUGUUGUAAAUUGGAGCAGCUAUGUUGAGUGCAGCUCAGGAUCUGGCCUGCAGUUUGCAGAAAGCAGAAUAACUAGCGAUACUUGCAAGUCACCAGACCAGCUCUUGGAAUAUUACAUCAGUCUUAACAAAUCUGAAGUACACAAACAUGACAAGCAUGAACAACAAGGGCAGAAAACAAGGCUGGACGAUCUGAGGAUUAACGAAUUGCUCCCUGGUGUCAAACUAAGAAUUGACAGAAAUAACCACUUUGGCUUCGGACAGGAAAAGUCAAAGACUGCUGGGUACUCAGUCAGAGCCUACUUGAUUUAUAUAAAGGAGCAGUCACUCUCAGUAAGUCCGAGACUGAUGGAUAUUUCCAAGGCGCUGGUUUGAACGGAUGGGUUCUGUGGGCAUGUGUCCUGGCUAAUAUUUCUGCAGCCGAGGUAUGUCAGUCAAGAAGCUUAACCAAUCGGGGGACUGAAGUACCUACAGUGGAAAGUUAAGAGAUUUGGGGCUUCUGUUCAGUUUGGAAGAGCACCCAACAGCUUAUUCCAGUGUCCAUGGGAAACAGCAGAUAAUGAUCCAUCCCACAUGACCAGGGCCAGCUCUACCAUUUUUGCCAUGCCAAGCUAAAAAGCAGUAGCUCGGACUGCCACCACCUGAACUGCUGAAGCAGGGGGAAAAAAAAAAAAAGCUGCCUGCACUCUGCUGCCCAAGAAUGGACGGAAUGCCGCCCCUUACCAUAUGCCACCCCAGGCACGUGCUUGCUCUGCUGGUGGCUAGAACCAGCCCUGCACAUGACAGGGAUAUAAACCUUCUGUGUCUAUGGCACAUGCCAUAUGAUUGGGGCUAGGCCAUAAAGAUCAGUUUUUUACUAGCAUUCCUUUGUUUCACACCUUUGCCACAUGUGGCAAAGCUACAUGAUGAUGUUUGUAUGAUGAUGGACCCUCCCCGCCAUAGAAUCGGAAAUAGUGGAACAGGUUUGCUUAGGUUUGAAGAGCAGUCUGAAUGCAGCUGAUCACAUGAGUGUAUAGUCUGUCUACAGAAUAGGAUGCAAAGAAUAUUAAAGAAUGUGAUGAGGUGUUUAACUGACCUGAAUGCAUUGUGAAUAAAACACAUCACAUUAAUAUAGAUCCCAGUGUGCUGCCAAAAAUACCUGCAUCAUAUAUAACCCCAAUAGCCCAGAGAAAUAAAGUAAAAGCUGAAUAUGACAGGAUGGUGAGUUUCAGUGUUAUUGAGAGAAUACAGAUACUAACUGAGUUGAUUAACAGUAUGGCCACAUAUAAUAAUACCAAAAAAGUUAAGCAUUUGUAUAGAUACAAAAAGAUUUGAAUAAGGCUACCAAAGACAUGCCAAGACAGUGGUUGAGGAGAUCAUGACUAGACUUCAAAAUGUAAGAGUAUUUUCAAAUUUGGUUGCAAGCAAGGAUUUUGGAAAAUCCAGCCUGCUAAAGUGCUAAACUCUACCCUUCAGCUCCCUUUUCUGUAGACACAAGCACACUCCCAUUUAUCCAAAUGAUCUGGGGACAUCCCAGUUUCAGAU